Molecule: small nuclear RNA, 107 nt
Filed under: Panthera tigris altaica (Amur tiger)
Lineage: Eukaryota; Metazoa; Chordata; Mammalia; Carnivora; Felidae
Source: RNAcentral
GUGCUCACUUCGGCAGCACAUAUACUAAAAUUGGAACGACACAGAGAAGAUUAGCAUGGCCCCUGUGCAAGGAUGACACACGCAUUCAUGAAGUGUUCCAUAAAUAA